GUAGUUGUGGCCGAGUGGUUAAGGGCAUGGACUAGAAAUCCAUUGGGGUCUCCCGCCGCAGGUUCGACUCCUGCCAACUACG
RNAcentral lists this transfer RNA (82 nucleotides) under Ameiurus melas (black bullhead). It matches the Rfam family "tRNA". Rfam says of the family: Transfer RNA (tRNA) molecules are approximately 80 nucleotides in length. Their secondary structure includes four short double-helical elements and three loops (D, anti-codon, and T loops). Further hydrogen bonds mediate the characteristic L-shaped molecular structure. tRNAs have two regions of fundamental functional importance: the anti-codon, which is responsible for specific mRNA codon recognition, and the 3' end, to which the tRNAs corresponding amino acid is attached (by aminoacyl-tRNA synthetases). tRNAs cope with the degeneracy of the genetic code in two manners: having more than one tRNA (with a specific anti-codon) for a particular amino acid; and 'wobble' base-pairing, i.e. permitting non-standard base-pairing at the 3rd anti-codon position. Lineage: Eukaryota; Metazoa; Chordata; Actinopteri; Siluriformes; Ictaluridae. The record is from Rfam by way of RNAcentral.